UAUAGCCUUGGGGGGUGGGGCUGGCCCACUUCGUCCGCCGGACUCGGAAUGGCGCGAGACUUUGCGAGGCCCCUCCGUGUGCCAAAAAUAGGCCACGGGCACAGCCGCGCCCAAAAAUAACCGCUCGAAGGCCGGGGCGCCAAGUUCGUCCUGCGGAAAAAGCCCACAAAAACGGGAGGGCUACAGCCUUGGGGGGUGGGGCUGGCCAACUUCGUCCGCCGGACUCGGAAUGGCACGAGACUUUGCGAGGCGCUUCCGUGUGCCAAAAAUAGGCCGCGGGCACAGCUGCGCCCAAAAAUAACCGCCCGAAGGCCGGGGCGCCAAGUUCGUCCAGCGGAAAAAGCCCACAAAAACGGGUGGGCUAUAGCCUUGGGGGGUGCGGCUGGCCAACUUCAUCCGCUGGACUCGGAAUCGCGCGAAACAUUGAGAGGCACCUCCGUGUACAAAAAAUAGGCCACGGGCACACCCGCGCCCAAAAAUAACCGCCUGAAGGCCGGGGCGCCAAGUUCGUCCAGCGGAAAAAGCCAACAAAAACGGGAGGGCUACAGCCUUGGGGGGUGGGGCUGGCCAACUUCGUCCGCCGGACUCGGAAUGGCGCGAGACUUUGCGAGGCGCCUCCGUGUGCCAAAAAUAGGCCGCGGGCACAGCCACGCCCAAAACUAAUCACCCGAAGGCCGGGGCGCCAAGUUCGUCCCGCGGAAAAAACCCACAAAAACGGGUGGGCUAUAGCCGUGGGGGGUGGGGCUGGCCAACUUCGUCCGCCGGACUCGGAAUGGCGCGAGACUUUGCGAGGCACCUCCGUGUGCCAAAAAUAGGCCACGGGAACAGCCGCGCCCAAAAAUAACCGCCCGAAGGUUGGGGCGCCAAGUUCG
RNAcentral lists this long non-coding RNA (872 nucleotides) under Citrus x clementina. Its description in RNAcentral is "Citrus clementina (C. clementina) long non-coding RNA (CCLE_LNC000702)". The record is from RNAcentral. Lineage: Eukaryota; Viridiplantae; Streptophyta; Magnoliopsida; Sapindales; Rutaceae.